This is a long non-coding RNA of Suricata suricatta (meerkat), 764 nucleotides long. RefSeq lists it as uncharacterized. Lineage: Eukaryota; Metazoa; Chordata; Mammalia; Carnivora; Herpestidae. The record is from RefSeq and is a predicted model, not a curated record. The transcript has 4 exons.
UUUAAAAGACAGACUCUGCAUUGUCUAGAUUAUGGAAAGCCUUGGAUCCCUUACUACUGAAAACAAUAAUCCACUUAAAAAGGCUUGAAACUGUGAGUGCUCGGAAUUUCCUGUUGAGGAUCAGAGCUGAUGCUGUGGUUGCUCCCGGGACAUGAAGCAGGGUCGGGUAACAGUCUCAAAGACCUGGGUCACCGGAAGAAUGUGACUCCUGACAUUCCCUUAAGUGGAACUUGAGAAUGGAAAAUAAUAAAGAAGAAUCCCGGGCCCUGAAGUGUGAGGGUACAGGAGGAGAGUGAGAGUUACCAAGCACCUGCUAUGUGCCAGACACCAUGCUGGCCAGCUAUACAGAGGUGGCUAAAUCGUGGUUUCCACUUCAUGCCUAAUGGAGUUGCUCAGUCACUGAUACUCGUACAAGUAUUAGAAGAUGUCCACCACAUGGAAAUAGAUGGGCUGCAACGGGAGAAGGUGAGAGACAACACCCAGGAGGAAAAAAUGGAGAAAGAAUCUGCACCUUGCCUUCAGUGGUUCCUGAGGUCUGCUGCACCCCUACUCUUCUUGUGGCUUGGCUGUUCUGGAAGAAAACCCAGGAUCAUUCAAGUGGGCUUCUAUUUUUUCUUAAGAUUGAACUCCUGAGAGACCUCUGGAACCAUCUCCAGCCCUCUGCCCUGAAGAAGAUCUGAAAUAACUUUCACAGAAAAUUCAAGUCUUAGAAGCAGAAGAGUAUUGUCUAUUAUAGCACAACGAUGUAUCUUAAAAAAAUAAAA